GAAAACUGGGCUUCGGCCCGAUCAACCCCACAACACCUGUGAACCGUUAAACUCGGAUGGGCUUCGGCCCGUCCUAUUUACAAAACAUCUUAUGAAGUCAUGAACGUCAAGUUAUAUUAACAAAAUAAAACUUUCAACAACGGAUCUCUUGGCUCC
Molecule: unclassified non-coding RNA, 156 nt
Filed under: rhizosphere metagenome
Description: partial ribosomal RNA internal transcribed spacer region
Source: RNAcentral